GAUGAACGCUGGCGGCGUGCCUAACACAUGCAAGUCGAGCGAACGGACGUGAAUCUUGCUUCUCUGAUGUUAGCGGCGGACGGGUGAGUAACACGUGGAUAACCUACCUAUAAGACUGGGAUAACUUCGGGAAACCGGAGCUAAUACCGGAUGAUAUUUUGAACCGCAUGGUUCACAAGUGAAAGACGGUCUUGCUGUCACUUAUAGAUGGUUCCGGGCUGCAUUAGCCAGUUGGUAAGGUAACGGCUUACCAAGGCAACGAUGCAUAGCCGACCUGAGAGGGUGAUCGGCCACACUGGGACUGAGACACGGGCCAGACUCCUACGGGAAGCAGCAGUAGGGAAUCUUGCGCGAUGGGCGAAAGCCUGACGGAGCAACGCCGAGUGGGUGAUGAAGGUCUUCGGGUCGUAAAACUCUGUUAUUAGGGAAGAAGAUAUGUGUAAGUAACUGUGCACAUCUUGACGGUACCUAAUCAGAAAGCCACGGCUAACUACGUG
This 497-nucleotide ribosomal RNA is filed under the name uncultured bacterium. RNAcentral's name for it is "partial 16S ribosomal RNA". It matches the Rfam family "Bacterial small subunit ribosomal RNA", at positions 28 to 507 of the family's 1533-position model. The record is from RNAcentral.